This 3153-nucleotide long non-coding RNA is filed under the name Canis lupus familiaris (dog). RNAcentral describes it as "lncRNA (ENSCAFG00845026544.1)". Lineage: Eukaryota; Metazoa; Chordata; Mammalia; Carnivora; Canidae. The record is from RNAcentral.
UUUUUUUUUUUUUUUGAGAGAGAGAGAAGCACAAGCAGUGGGAGGAGCAGAGGGAGACAGAUAGAGAGAGAAUCUUAAGCAGGCUCCAUGAUGAGCAUGGAAUCCAGCCCACGUGGGGCUUGAUAUCAAGCCUGAGAUCAUGACCUGAGUUGAAACCAAGAGUCAGACAUUUAAACAUCUGAGCAAUCCAGCUGCCUCUCUGGUACCCUGAAUUUUAUGGUUGCUGCUCUAUAUCAGUUGGCUCUGAUAGCCAGUGGUGCUUAUGUUUGUGGGUCCCAGAGGACUAUAACCUACAGAGAAAUAAUUCUUUAUCAGCUACUACCCCAGGGCACAUCAAAAGGCAACAGACCCAGAAGCUCAAUCUUUCUAUGGAAGAGGCCUACUAGCUUAUGGUUAUAGCUGCACUCCCAGGGGCAUGCUUCUAAUUAAACAUAUACCUAAGGGUCAACAAUAAAACCUUCUCUCUGGAACACUAGCCACUUCAAGUCAGAAAACAGUAAACUUUAAAAUUUAGGAGAUUUCUAUCAGUGGUUCUCUUUUAAUUUUAUUUAAAAUUGUAUUUAAUAUGUAUAAAUAUGGAGGAAUUUGUAGUCCCUGUGUCCAUAGCUCUAGGAAGCAUGAAGGGCAUAUUGUAGGGUGUGGAGAAGUAUGGAGAUGGCAGAUGUAGAAAGCUCAGGAGAAUUUUUUUACUUGAUUGGGAAAGUCAUAAUAUAAGCCUCUAUCAGUUGAUCAACUGAUCAAUCCAUUGAUAUAUAUGUUCAUGUAGAAACAUGAAAUUUGUGUUCAUAUACAAGGAGUAGCCACAGACAAUGACAGAUAGUAGUGGAAAAUGCAACACAGAUCUCUCAUUUUUAACACUGCAAUUUAAAUCUAAAUAAAGAUGCUGCUUGAGUUAGUCUGGAAUCUAGUAUCUACAUUAGAUUUUAUCUUAAUGUCUUAUAUUAAGAAGUCUCAGCUGUUAUUCUAAUGUUAUUGAUAGCAAAAGUUUUGAAUGAGAUAUGUAACAAGUGCUUAGUGCAUUUCACAUACAUUCUCUUAUUUAACUCUCAAAACUUUCAUAGGAUAUAAGUAUUGCUAUUAUCCCCUGCAUUUAUUCAGCAGAGGAAACUGAAGCUAGAGAGGUUAAAUGCCCAAGGUCACAGGGCUGGAAAGUGGUGGAAUCUAGAUUCAAGUACACGUCCUCUGGCUUCUCAGUUGCUUUUCUUCUCAGCUGCACAAUGAUGAAUCAGAAGCACCGAAAGUCUACUUUAACAACCAAAAAUCUGAUUCUAUUCUGGUAAUCCUAAUGUUUUCCUGUUUCCAAGUGGAAAAAUGUGUAUUAUGCAUUUUCUAGGAAAAGAAUAGUGGUGUUGAGGAAGACACGUACCUCUGCUUUCUGAGAAACUGCUCAGAAAUUUUCCAGAUCAUGUCAUGGGAAUAGCUUAACCCCAGACCCAAGACAUUUAGGUGAGCCAGGAUGGAAUGUUCUGUGAGAGGAAAGGGUCAAGCAAAUAUUUCAUCUCUUUGAUACAGACAUUGUCCUUUAUGUGUCCUUUGGCCUGAGAGAGCACAGAACAAUAAGGUCAGCCAAACAGAUGUGAGGGCAAAGCUCACCAUGUGCUAGCUUUCUUCAGACACUAUUAUGAACAUCAAAGACAUCUUUGAAGUUCAAAAGGAAAAGUCAUAAAGACAGCCAGAGGGUCUGUGAACCUGUGAAGGGCAUGAUUUCCUUGUCAGAAAUGCUAGGAUUUGAAGGGAGGAAUUAAGAGUACAAAGAGACAAGUUACAAGAAAACUGAGCAUCUUAGCUUCACUGAUCAUACCAUGAAAUGGUAAACUCCAUGAAGACAGCCAGUUCUUUACAAUCUACUGAAAGCCUAGUUCAGAGCAAGUAGUAUAUAGAUAAUAAUUCAUCCAUAUACAUAUAUAUCCAUUUAUUAAUAUGGAUUGAUUGAAUGAUUGAUAGAGCACCUAUUAUAUGCUUUUGUUCUAAGUGUUAGAGAUACAGAAGUGGAUGAACCAAAUUUCCUAUUCAAGAAAUUAACAAAUCAAUGUAAAUGUAUAUUAUGUUAGGUAGUAUAAGGGCUAGUAAGAAAAUUAAAACAGAGUAAGAAGAAAGAGAAUGAAGAUAACAGACUGGGGAGCUAGAUAGAGAUAAGAACGUGAUCAAUUAAGAUGUUUCUACUAAGAGGCAUUUAAACAAAGAAAUUUGAAGGAAUUGAAGGAGUACAAUGAAGAUAUGGAACAACAAUCUAACAUAAUCAUUUAAUGAUUUUAAUUUCAUAAUCCCAAUGUCUCCAAACCCUACUUGCUUGAGUGUAGUAUGUCCAGAGUCUCCCUUCUGGACAACGAAUCACCAGGUUCAUUGUCACAUGUUCUUGAAUUAGACUUGGUAACCAUCUUAACAGCCUGCUCUAUACAUGUAACCAUAUAGUAUCUGUUUUUAUAUCAACUAGUGAGUACAUUUCCUUUUUUAUUUGUUGGUCAUUUUCCUAAAAGGUAAAUAGUAAUGACUAUUUACCUAAAAGGUAAAUAGUAAUGACUAUUCCCAUCUCUUACAUCUAAGAUAGUUUUAUGACAUUACAUAUAAUAGAAAAGAAAUUUGAAGCUUCUACUUCAAUUUGAACUGUUUAAGUCUGUCCUAAUGGAGUACUAGAGAAGUUUUAAGUCAUAUAUUUACUCAUGUGGAUAAUUCAGGUAUUGGAUAACACUUUUGACUGCCAUAUAAAAAUGAUAUGUAUGAGCUUUUGAAUGUGCAAAUAAUGCUACUAAACUGGCAUCAGUAGAAAAUGGGUUUUGACCUAUUAUUACUUGUUCACAUUGAGAUGCAUUAUGGUCUUUUACUCAUUCUGAGGAACCAAUGUGAGAUAUUAGUUAAUUAGGUUAAUCAGGAAAAUUAUAUAUUAUACAUGUUUCUAUGAGCCAUGUCUCCUUCUAUAGGCUCCAGCAGAACAUUGUUGGUGGUAGGCUAUGAAAUGCACAUUUAAGGAGGAAAAUUUAUUACCAGAAGUCUAUUUGGACUGUCUAGUGUGAGACAUCUUAAAAAAGAAAACAAAAUUGGACUUUACUAACAGACUGAGAUUUAUUUUUUUGUUUUUGUUUUUGUUUUUUUUUUUAAUUUUUUAUUUUUUUAUAUAAAUUUAUUUUUUAUUGUUGUUCGAUUUGCCAACAUAUA